Molecule: long non-coding RNA, 392 nt
Filed under: Cyanistes caeruleus (blue tit)
Lineage: Eukaryota; Metazoa; Chordata; Aves; Passeriformes; Paridae
Description: lncRNA (ENSCCEG00000017507.1)
Source: RNAcentral
CUCAGCCAUAGCUGGGCUCCUGUGGCAGCUGCAUGUGCAACUUUUGGAAGCUAAAAUUCAUCUGUUUCUCCAUGAUGUGCUUGUUAAGAGGUGAAAUAUCUGGAAAAAAAAUAGACUUUUUGUGAGAAUAAUAAAAAAAGAAAAAAAAAAGAAACUGACCAAUAAGAAAGCAUCCAGCCUGGAUCUCAGCUGCAAAGGAGAAAAGUUCUUGUGCCUGUCUUGCCUGGAGUGCUGGCCUUGCUGGACUCAACCCAUUUGCCACCAGUGGAUUAAAACUGAGACCCAAAACACCAGCGAGAUUGAGAAUUCUUCAAAGUGAUUUACGCACAAUUCUUAGCACAGCUGUUUGCUGGGGGUGUGUGCUCUGUGUGGGGGAUCUAUCAGCAGUCUGG